RNAcentral lists this ribosomal RNA (253 nucleotides) under uncultured bacterium. RNAcentral's name for it is "partial 16S ribosomal RNA". It matches the Rfam family "Bacterial small subunit ribosomal RNA", at positions 524 to 776 of the family's 1533-position model. The record is from RNAcentral.
UACGGGGGGGGCAAGCGUUGUUCGGAAUUACUGGGCGUAAAGGGCUCGUAGGCGGCCAACUAAGUCAGACGUGAAAUCCUUCGGCUUAACCGGGGAACUGCGUCUGAUACUGGAUGGCUUGAGUUCGGGAGAGGGAUGCGGAAUUCCAGGUGUAGCGGUGAAAUGCGUAGAUAUCUGGAGGAACACCGGUGGCGAAGGCGGCAUCCUGGACCGACACUGACGCUGAGGAGCGAAAGCCAGGGGAGCAAACGGG